RNAcentral lists this ribosomal RNA (460 nucleotides) under uncultured bacterium. RNAcentral's name for it is "partial 16S ribosomal RNA". It matches the Rfam family "Bacterial small subunit ribosomal RNA", at positions 338 to 795 of the family's 1533-position model. The record is from RNAcentral.
CCUACGGGCGGCAGCAGUGAGGAAUAUUGGUCAAUGGCCGGAAGGCUGAACCAGCCAUGCUGCGUGAAGGUCAGUGCCCUAUGGGCGUUAAACUUCUUUUGUGCGGGAGCAAUAAUGGUCACGUGUGGCCAGACGAGAGUACCGUACGAAUAAGCAUCGGCUAACUCCGUGCCAGCAGCCGCGGUAAUACGGGGGAUGCAAGCGUUAUCCGGAUUUAUUGGGUGUAAAGGGUGCGUACGCGGUGAGGUCAGUCAGCGGUGAAAUGCCCCCGCUCAACGGGGUGAAGUGCCAUUGAUCCUGCCGUGCUGGAAUGCGCAUGCCGUGGGAGGAAUGUGUGGUGUAGCGGUGAAAUGCAUAGAUAUCACACAGAACACCGAUUGCGAAGGCAGCUCACGAAUCCGCGAUUGACGCUGAUGCACGAAAGCGUGGGUAUCAAACAGGAUUAGAUACCCUUGUAGUC